UUUAAGCACAGUGCUGGUCU
RNAcentral lists this microRNA (20 nucleotides) under Nematostella vectensis (starlet sea anemone). RNAcentral's name for it is "nve-miR-9439". The record is from miRBase by way of RNAcentral. Lineage: Eukaryota; Metazoa; Cnidaria; Anthozoa; Actiniaria; Edwardsiidae.